CCUACGGGCGGCUGCAGGGGGGAAUAUUGGACAAUGGGGGGAACCCUGAUCCAGCCAUGCCGCGUGUGUGAAGAAGGCCCUCGGGUUGUAAAGCACUUUCAGUGAGGAAGAACGCCUGGUGGUUAAUACCCAUCAGGAAAGACAUCACUCACAGAAGAAGCACCGGCUAACUCCGUGCCAGCAGCCGCGGUAAUACGGAGGGUGCGAGCGUUAAUCGGAAUUACUGGGCGUAAAGCGCGCGUAGGUGGCUUGAUAAGCCGGUUGUGAAAGCCCCGGGCUCAACCUGGGAACGGCAUCCGGAACUGUCAAGCUAGAGUGCAGGAGAGGAAGGUAGAAUUCCCGGUGUAGCGGUGAAAUGCGUAGAGAUCGGGAGGAAUACCAGUGGCGAAGGCGGCCUUCUGGACUGACACUGACACUGAGGUGCGAAAGCGUGGGUAGCAAACAGGAUUAGAUACCCUAGUAGUC
Molecule: ribosomal RNA, 465 nt
Filed under: Vreelandella stevensii
Lineage: Bacteria; Pseudomonadati; Pseudomonadota; Gammaproteobacteria; Oceanospirillales; Halomonadaceae
Description: partial 16S ribosomal RNA
Rfam family: Bacterial small subunit ribosomal RNA
Source: RNAcentral